CCUACGGGAGGCAGCAGUAGGGAAUCUUUCACAAUGGGCGAAAGCCUGAUGGAGCAACGCCGCGUGCAGGAUGAAGGCCUUCUGGUUGUAAACUGCUUUUAUAAGCGAGAAAUAUGAUGGUAACUUAUGAAUAAGGAUCGGCUAACUACGUGCCAGCAGCCGCGGUCAUACGUAGGAUCCGAGCAUUAUCCGGAGUGACUGGGUGUAAAGAGUUGCGUAGGUGGCAUAAUAAGUAGCUAGUGAAAUCUGGUGGCUCAACCAUUCAGACUAUUAGCUAAACUGUUAAGCUCGAGACCGUUAGGGGUAACUGGAAUUUCUAGUGUAGGAGUGAAAUCCGUAGAUAUUAGAAGGAACACCAAUAGCGUAGGCAGGUUACUGGGACGGUUCCGACACUAAGGCACGAAAGCGUAGGGAGCAAACGGGAUUAGAUACCCCAGUAGUC
This 442-nucleotide ribosomal RNA is filed under the name uncultured bacterium. RNAcentral describes it as "partial 16S ribosomal RNA". It matches the Rfam family "Bacterial small subunit ribosomal RNA", at positions 338 to 795 of the family's 1533-position model. The record is from RNAcentral.